Molecule: ribosomal RNA, 253 nt
Filed under: uncultured bacterium
Lineage: Bacteria
Description: partial 16S ribosomal RNA
Rfam family: Bacterial small subunit ribosomal RNA
Source: RNAcentral
UACGUAGGGGGCAAGCGUUGUCCGGAUUUAUUGGGCGUAAAGAGCGUGUAGGCGGCCUGGAAGGUCAGCUGUGAAAACUCGAGGCUCAACCUCGAGACGUCGGUUGAAACCACCUGGCUAGAGUCCGGAAGAGGAGAAUGGAAUUCCCGGUGUAGCGGUGAAAUGCGCAGAUAUCGGGAAGAACACCCGUGGCGAAGGCGGUUCUCUGGGACGGUACUGGCGCUGAGACGCGAAAGCGUGGGGAGCGAACAGG